Molecule: long non-coding RNA, 1216 nt
Organism: Pseudophryne corroboree (corroboree frog)
Lineage: Eukaryota; Metazoa; Chordata; Amphibia; Anura; Myobatrachidae
Exons: 2
Source: RefSeq, a predicted model, not a curated record
CUUUCCUAUAGUCACUCUUACUAGUGUUUCUGUAUGUAUUCUGCUGAUAUUUUAAAUAUUAGGAUUUGCAUAUGCUAAUUAGCCAAUUAUGGUCCCUAAUUGAUGACAUCAGCUUCCCUUCAUAAGGGAAGUCACUUGGGGGACCAAAUCACCUUUGAAAAAGCCACCAGGAGUGGCGAAAUGCGUCAGUUUUUUGAACACCAGGCACUGGACUGUUCCACCUAGCACUGUUUCUUCAACUGAAAAACUUUCAGUCAAACGACUGUGCCAUCCAGCAUUGUCCAUCGGAUUGGAAACCUCCAGCUAAACAGCAAAAGGCAUCCGUGAACCAGGAUCCAAUACCACCAUUGCCGUCGCAGAACGAGCUAAAUCAAUUGGACUCCUUUAUUUUGGAACACAGCUUGGAAAGCUUAUACAACUGGACUAUUCCGAAUGCUGGUAAAAUAUGGCCAUGUGUGGAUUUUAUUGCAGUUAUUAAUAUUUACUAUACACUGCGGGACUCUAUUCAUAACAAGCAGUGGUUGUCUGGACGAUAACGAAUCUGGAAAGACUACAUUUCCCAUGAACCGCGCUACUGGAAGUUCUGCAUUGCGGGGGAUGACGACUUCCGGCCAGGACACAAGUAUACAACACGUCUUCUGUGGACUACAUUUCCCAUGUAGUCUGGAACCGGAUUUCAGUCUGACAACUUCCGCUUAUGUCAUGCUAUUAGGGAUUAUAUUUCCCAGAGUUUCCGCAAUCGGAACCCGGCGCGAACGCUAUCUUAUUAGUUUUUAAGUUCAUUUGUAUAAAUCUUAUGUAUAAUGCUAGAGAUAUUAAUGUUGUUUAUAAUCUUUGUUAAAAAAACGGCAAAGAGGAUGCAUUUUAUUCAAACUACUGUUUGUAUAAAUAACAACUAAUUAUGACAUCACUUCCUGAUAGUUUUUGAUUGGACACAGGUCCUUUAAAUAUCAAGCUAUGAUUACGCUCCAUUAUGUCUUGAGAAAGGCCCAGGCCAGGGCUGAAACGCGUUGACAGCAGGAGUGUGAGUAGCUGUUACUUUUCUUGGAAAACUUUUAGCUCAUAUUUUUAUUUUUGCACAAUUUUUUUAUUCUUUUAUAUGGAUUCAUGGAUAUCCUUCUUGCCGUUUUUACCCCCUUUCAUGUGAUUUUUCGUGUUUUGCCUCAUGUUUGUGGCUUUAUUUGUAUUUUAAUAAAUUUUUUGUACCCCCCCUGUU